CCUAUAGUGGGCCUCAAAUAAUGUGUGACUACCC
RNAcentral lists this ribosomal RNA (34 nucleotides) under Anopheles cruzii. RNAcentral describes it as "partial 28S ribosomal RNA". The record is from RNAcentral. Lineage: Eukaryota; Metazoa; Arthropoda; Insecta; Diptera; Culicidae.